Molecule: long non-coding RNA, 299 nt
Filed under: Vitis vinifera (wine grape)
Lineage: Eukaryota; Viridiplantae; Streptophyta; Magnoliopsida; Vitales; Vitaceae
Description: long non-coding RNA (VVIN_LNC007220)
Source: RNAcentral
GGGUAUCCAAUUGUAGUUUCUCUUGUUAUGGGCUUCCUCAUGUCUGGAAUUGUAAGAGGCAGGAAAAUCCUCAUUUUCCAACGAAUAAUUCCUCUAAGCCACUAAUCUGGCAAAAAUAAUCAUAUCCUCCUUUGGCAGUGGGGUGAAGAAAACUGGUCUGAUGGAGACUGUUGACUAACGCCACUAUGAAACCUUUGUUCCUCAAGCGCACUGAGAUCAAAAGGCUGUGUGGAGAUUGGCAUCUGAGCAGCCUGACUUGUAGACUGUAGUAGGACAACAUGACUCAUGGCUUGUGGUGA